CACGUAGGGUGCGAGCGUUUGUCCGGAAUUAUUGGGCGUAAAGAGCUCGUAGGCGGUGUGUCGCGUCGGCCGUGAAAACCUGCAGCUUAACUGUGGGCGUGCGGUCGAUACGGGCAUCACUGGAGUUCGGCAGGGGAGACUGGAAUUCCUGGUGUAGCGGUGAAAUGCGCAGAUAUCAGGAGGAACACCAGCGGCGAAGGCGGCGCUCUGGGGCUGGAACUGACGCUGAGGAGCGAAAGCGUGGGGAGCGAACAGG
RNAcentral lists this ribosomal RNA (256 nucleotides) under uncultured bacterium. Its description in RNAcentral is "partial 16S ribosomal RNA". It matches the Rfam family "Bacterial small subunit ribosomal RNA", at positions 524 to 776 of the family's 1533-position model. The record is from RNAcentral.